CUUUCUAAACCUAAGCCCUCUUGCCUCUUUGUCUCUGAGUCGCACAAGCCGCCACCUACAAGCCACAAAGCACCGAGUCUGUGAAGCCUUGAAGAAAACGACGCCGGCCAUCCAAAAACCGUCAAAUCACCUGCUCAAAAAUCCGGCCAAACGCCACCACCGGCGACACGUCACACGUAGGAGGCCGGAAAGCUGAAUUGCGGUGCCGCCGCUCGUUCCGCCCAAAUGCCCCGCCCCAGCUCUCUCGUUCCGCCACAACCACAGCACACCGCCAGGUCCGCUGCCGUCGAGGACGCCUGAUGAGUGAUGAGUUUUCUCUUCAAAAUCUGAUGUGUUUCUAUUUCUGAAUUCUGAUGAAAUAAGCGAUUUCAAUAACCACAUUAUAGAAGAUCAGGAAGAUCAAGAUGA
This is a long non-coding RNA of Alnus glutinosa, 408 nucleotides long. RefSeq lists it as uncharacterized. The transcript has 2 exons. Lineage: Eukaryota; Viridiplantae; Streptophyta; Magnoliopsida; Fagales; Betulaceae. The record is from RefSeq and is a predicted model, not a curated record.